RNAcentral lists this ribosomal RNA (460 nucleotides) under uncultured bacterium. RNAcentral's name for it is "partial 16S ribosomal RNA". It matches the Rfam family "Bacterial small subunit ribosomal RNA", at positions 338 to 795 of the family's 1533-position model. The record is from RNAcentral.
CCUACGGGAGGCAGCAGUGAGGAAUAUUGGUCAAUGGACGAGAGUCUGAACCAGCCAAGUAGCGUGAAGGAUGACUGCCCUAUGGGUUGUAAACUUCUUUUAUAUGGGAAUAAAAUGUUCCAAGUGAGGGAUUUCGUAUGUACCAUAUGAAUAAGGAUCGGCUAACUCCGUGCCAGCAGCCGCGGGAAUACGGUGGAUCCGAGCGUUAUUCGGAUUUAUUGGGUUUAAAGGGAGCGUAGGUGGAUUGUUAAGUCAGUUGUGAAAGUUUGCGGCUCAACCGUAAGAUUGCAGUUGAUACUGGCAGUCUUGAGUACAGUAGAGGUGGGCGGAAUUCGUUGUGUAGCGGUGAAAUGCUUAGAUAUCACGAAGAACUCCGAUUGCGAAGGCAGCUCACUGGACUGCAACUGACACUGAGGCUCGAAAGUGUGGGUAUCAAACAGGAUUAGAUACCCGAGUAGUC